UGCGGAUUAAUGUAACAGUAACAUACUUGGCUCAUGACCAAUUUAUUUAGGUGCAAUUCCUAAGUCCGCAA
This is a non-coding RNA of Coccidioides immitis RMSCC 2394, 71 nucleotides long. The record is from Rfam. Lineage: Eukaryota; Fungi; Ascomycota; Eurotiomycetes; Onygenales; Onygenaceae.